RNAcentral lists this small RNA (125 nucleotides) under Marmota monax (woodchuck). The record is from RNAcentral. Lineage: Eukaryota; Metazoa; Chordata; Mammalia; Rodentia; Sciuridae.
GCUGGGUACUGUGAUGCACACCUGUAAUCCCAGCAGCUGUGGAGGCUGAGGCAGGAGGAUCACAAGUUCAAAGUCAGCCUCAGCAAUGGCAAGGCACUAAGAAACUCAGUGAGACCCUGUCUCUA